RNAcentral lists this ribosomal RNA (256 nucleotides) under uncultured bacterium. RNAcentral's name for it is "partial 16S ribosomal RNA". It matches the Rfam family "Bacterial small subunit ribosomal RNA", at positions 524 to 776 of the family's 1533-position model. The record is from RNAcentral.
UACGUAGGUGGCAAGCGUUUGUCCGGAAUUAUUGGGCGUAAAGCGCGCGCAGGUGGUUCCUUAAGUCUGAUGUGAAAGCCCACGGCUCAACCGUGGAGGGUCAUUGGAAACUGGGGAACUUGAGUGCAGAAGAGGAAAGUGGAAUUCCAAGUGUAGCGGUGAAAUGCGUAGAGAUUUUGGAGGAACACCAGUGGCGAAGGGCGACUUUCUGGUCUGUAACUGACACUAGGCGCGAAAAGCGUGGGGAGCGAACAGG